CCGGCACGGGUGAGUAACACGUAUCCAACCUGCCGUCUACUCUGGACAGCCUUCUGAAAGGAAAGAUUAAUACAAGAUGGCAUCAUGAGUCCGCAUGUUCACAUGAUUAAAGGUAUUCCGGUAGACGAUGGGGAUGCGUUCCAUUAGAUAGUAGGCGGGGUAACGGCCCACCUAGUCUUCGAUGGAUAGGGGUUCUGAGAGGAAGGUCCCCCACAUUGGAACUGAGACACGGUCCAA
RNAcentral lists this ribosomal RNA (237 nucleotides) under uncultured bacterium. Its description in RNAcentral is "partial 16S ribosomal RNA". It matches the Rfam family "Bacterial small subunit ribosomal RNA", at positions 100 to 334 of the family's 1533-position model. The record is from RNAcentral.